This 453-nucleotide ribosomal RNA is filed under the name uncultured bacterium. RNAcentral's name for it is "partial 16S ribosomal RNA". It matches the Rfam family "Bacterial small subunit ribosomal RNA", at positions 28 to 523 of the family's 1533-position model. The record is from RNAcentral.
GAUGAACGCUGGCGGCGUGCCUAAUACAUGCAAGUCGAGCGGUAACACUUCGGGUGACGAGCGGCGGACGGCUGAGUAACACGUAGGAACGUACCCCAAAGUGAGGGAUAACUGCUCGCAAGAGUAGCUAAUACCGCAUGUGCUCUAAGGAGUAAAGCUUUGGCGCUUUGGGAACGGCCUGCGCAUGAUUAGCUUGUUGGUGAGGUAAAAGCUCACCAAGGCGACGAUCAUUAGCUGGUCUGAGAGGAUGAUCAGCCAGACUGGGACUGAGACACGGCCCAGACUCCUACGGGAGGCAGCAGUAGGGAAUUUUCCACAAUGGGCGAAAGCCUGAUGGAGCAACGCCGCGUGCAGGAUGAAUGCCUUCGGGUUGUAAACUGCUUUUAUAUGUGACGAAUAUGACGGUAGCAUAUGAAUAAGGAUCGGCUAACUCCGUGCCAGCCGCCGCGGUAA